RNAcentral lists this ribosomal RNA (373 nucleotides) under uncultured bacterium. RNAcentral's name for it is "bacterial SSU rRNA". It matches the Rfam family "Bacterial small subunit ribosomal RNA", at positions 525 to 896 of the family's 1533-position model. The record is from RNAcentral.
ACGGAGGGUGCAAGCGUUGUUCGGAUUGACUGGGCGUAAAGGGCGUGUAGGCGGUUGCCCAAGUCCGAUGUGAAAGCCCGAGGCCUACCCUCGGAAGUGCAUCGGAAACUAGGCAGCUGGAGCGCGAUAGAGGAGGGUAGAAUUCCUGGUGUAGCGGUGAAAUGCGUAGAUAUCAGGAGGAAUACCGGCGGCGAAGGCGGCCCUCUGGAUCGUUGCUGACGCUGAGACGCGAAAGCGUGGGGAGCAAACAGGAUUAGAUACCCUGGUAGUCCACGCUGUAAACGAUGGGUACUAGGUGUUCGGGGUAUUGACCCCCUGAGUGCCGCAGUUAACGCAUUAAGUACCCCGCCUGGGGACUACGGCCGCAAGGUUA